This 253-nucleotide ribosomal RNA is filed under the name uncultured bacterium. Its description in RNAcentral is "partial 16S ribosomal RNA". It matches the Rfam family "Bacterial small subunit ribosomal RNA", at positions 524 to 776 of the family's 1533-position model. The record is from RNAcentral.
UACGAAGGGGGCUAGCGUUGUUCGGAUUUACUGGGCGUAAAGCGCACGUAGGCGGAUCGUUAAGUCGGGGGUGAAAUCCUGGAGCUCAACUCUGGAACUGCCUUUGAUACUGAAGAUCUUGAGUUCGGGAGAGGUGAGUGGAACUGCGAGUGUAGAGGUGAAAUUCGUAGAUAUUCGCAAGAACACCAGUGGCGAAGGCGGCUCACUGGCCCGAUACUGACGCUGAGGCACGAAAGCGUGGGGAGCAAACAGG